GAUGAACGCUGGCUACAGGCUUAACACAUGCAAGUCGAGGGGAAACGACGGGGAAGCUUGCUUCCCCGGGCGUCGACCGGCGCACGGGUGAGUAACGCGUAUCCAACCUGCCUCUGACUGAGGGAUAACCCGUCGAAAGUCGGCCUAAUACCUCAUGGCAUCGUCUGCGGGCAUCCGACGACGAUUAAAGAUUUCAUCGGUCAGAGAUGGGGAUGCGUCUGAUUAGCUUGUUGGCGGGGUAACGGCCCACCAAGGCGACGAUCAGUAGGGGUUCUGAGAGGAAGGUCCCCCACAUUGGAACUGAGACACGGUCCAAACUCCUACGGGAGGCAGCAGUGAGGAAUAUUGGUCAAUGGGCGAGAGCCUGAACCAGCCAAGUAGCGUGCAGGAUGACGGCCCUAUGGGUUGUAAACUGCUUUUAUGCGGGGAUAAAGUGAGGGACGUGUCCUUCAUUGCAGGUACCGCAUGAAUAAGGACCGGCUAAUUCUGU
This 490-nucleotide ribosomal RNA is filed under the name uncultured bacterium. Its description in RNAcentral is "partial 16S ribosomal RNA". It matches the Rfam family "Bacterial small subunit ribosomal RNA", at positions 28 to 506 of the family's 1533-position model. The record is from RNAcentral.